GAAGCGGCAACAGCUCAAAUUUGAAAGCUAGCCUUCGGGUUCGCAUUGUAAUUUGUAGAGGAUGAUUUGGGGAAGCCGCCUGUCUAAGUUCCUUGGAACAGGACGUCAUAGAGGGUGAGAAUCCCGUAUGUGACAGGAAAUGGCACCCUAUGUAAAUCUCCUUCGACGAGUCGAGUUGUUUGGGAAUGCAGCUCUAAAUGGGAGGUAAAUUUCUUCUAAAGCUAAAUAUUGGCGAGAGACCGAUAGCGCACAAGUAGAGUGAUCGAAAGAUGAAAAGCACUUUGGAAAGAGAGUUAAAAAGCACGUGAAAUUGUUGAAAGGGAAGCGCUUGCAAUCAGACUUGUUUAAACUGUUCGGCCGGUCUUCUGACCGGUUUACUCAGUUUGGACAGGCCAGCAUCAGUUUCGGCGGCCGGAUAAAGGCUCUGGGAAUGUGGCCUCCACUUCGGUGGAGGUGUUAUAGCCCAGGGUGUAAUACGGCCAGCCGGGACUGAGGUCCGCGCUUCGGCUAGGAUGCUGGCGUAAUGGUUGUAAGCGACCCGUCUUGAA
RNAcentral lists this ribosomal RNA (548 nucleotides) under Aureobasidium pullulans. RNAcentral describes it as "eukaryotic LSU rRNA". It matches the Rfam family "Eukaryotic large subunit ribosomal RNA", at positions 95 to 658 of the family's 3401-position model. The record is from RNAcentral. Lineage: Eukaryota; Fungi; Ascomycota; Dothideomycetes; Dothideales; Saccotheciaceae.